This 1460-nucleotide long non-coding RNA is filed under the name Marmota monax (woodchuck). The record is from RNAcentral. Lineage: Eukaryota; Metazoa; Chordata; Mammalia; Rodentia; Sciuridae.
GUCAUUUUCUCUCUUCAGUGCAUCAAUGACGCCCAGCAGCAGCCAUCCAAUUCCACAGAACUUCAAUGAAUACUUCAUAUUGUGCUUCCAAUGCUAGCAGCAUUACACCAGCAGCUGCAUUCCCUUCCACCUGCAAAACAUUCCAACUCACCAUGCAUGGAAGUUUGCAGUCAUAUGCCAGGGAUUGUUGGUACUCCACUGAGGUCCUCAUGGCCAGCUGUCUAGCAGAUGAUCCAACUCCAGAAGUCCAUCAUGCCUCCUGAAAUUCCUCUGGGUAUCAAUUAUCUUAGGUCAGACUCCCUAGAAACAGAACCUGAGUCAGUGAUUCACUGUUGCCAUACUCUUCAGGAAAAAAACUUUCAAUAGUAAGGGAAGCAGAUCAGGGAAGAGGAAAGAAAGAACAAGAAUUUGCUGAAGUCUAGAUUGAGCUUGGACCUUUUAUUUGGGAAAACUUACCUGACCUCUCUUUGUCUUGUUAGCUCUUGGGAGUCAUCAGUCUUCUCUUUCAGAAGGAGGAUUCACUGACCUCCGCCGCCUUGGUUACCUUUUCCUUUUAUGUCAUCUUACAGAAAUUCAUAUUAACCUAUGUCAUUAACUUGCCAUAUGAUUUUAAAGGUUAUUUUGUAUUGUAGAUGGACAGAAUGCCUUUAUUUCAUUCGUUUAUUUUUAUGUGGUGCUAAGGAUUGAGCCCUAUGCCUCACAUAUAUUAGGCAAGUGCUCUGCCACUGAGCUACAGUUCCAGCCCACCAUAUGAUUUUUAAUUGAAUUUCUACUGAUUUCAAGAGAAGAAAUUGAAAAGAGUUUUCCAAAAUACUUAUAGUACUCCUCUCUCUAAGUGUGCCUUAGGAUUAGGAGAGAGGGGUAGGAAAAUAGAGGUGUACAUAGAGAGUCACAGAGAGUGUAUUACACACACACACACACACUUUUUUUUUUUUUGUAUCAGGGAUUGAACCUAGGGGUGCUUAACCACUGAGCCACAUUCCAGCUACCCCCGGUCCCACAUUUUCUUUCUUUCUUUCUUUCUUUUCUUUUUAUUUUUUUUGAGACAGGGACUCACUAGGUUGCUUACGAUCUUGCUAAAUUGCUGAGGCUGACUUCUAAUCUGCAAUCCUCCUGCUUCAGUCUCCCAAGCUGCUGGGAUUAUAGGUGGGCACCACCACAUAUAUUUUUAAUUCCCCAAAGUGAUCAUCAUAUAUUCACAGCCCUACUCUAAACACCUUAAUACCCACUAGCUCUAUGGUUCUCAAUUAUGGCUUCAUAUUAGAAUUCUCUAAGGAGCUAUUAAAAUACUAAUACAUGAGCCUAAUUUCUCAAACAUUCAGAUUUAAUUGGUUGGGGAUUGGGUCUGGGCAUCAAUAAUAUUUUUUCAAACUCCCAAACUAUUCUAAUGUGCACCUGGGAUUAAGAACCACUGGACUGGGCUUUAAUGUCCAUGGGACAGACCUCCGGUCUUAUUCCUC